GUAGGGAAUAUUGGGCAAUGGUCGGAAGACUGACCCAGCCAUGCCGCGUGCAGGAAGACGGCCCUCUGGGUUGUAAACUGCUUUUAUCUGGGAAGAAAAAGGCCAUGCGUGGCAAAUUGCCGGUACCAGAUGAAUAAGCACCGGCUAACUCCGUGCCAGCAGCCGCGGUAAUACGGAGGGUGCGAGCGUUGUCCGGUUUUAUUGGGUUUAAAGGGUGCGUAGGCGGCUGAUUAAGUCAGCGGUGAAAGACUUCGGCUUAACCGGAGCAGUGCCGUUGAUACUGGUUGGCUUGAGUGUCGGAGGGGUACAUGGAAUUGAUGGUGUAGCGGUGAAAUGCAUAGAUACCAUCAGGAACACCGAUAGCGAAGGCAUUGUACUGGCCGACAACUGACGCUGAUGCACGAAAGUGUGGGGAUCGAACAGGAUUAGAUACCCCAGUAGUCC
RNAcentral lists this ribosomal RNA (444 nucleotides) under uncultured bacterium. RNAcentral's name for it is "partial 16S ribosomal RNA". It matches the Rfam family "Bacterial small subunit ribosomal RNA", at positions 354 to 796 of the family's 1533-position model. The record is from RNAcentral.